GAUGAAGAACGUAGCGAAAUGCGAUAAGUAGUGUGAAUUGCAGAAUUCAGUGAAUCAUCGAAUCUUUGAACGCACAUUGCGCCCCUUGGUAUUCCAUGGGGCAUGCCUGUUCGAGCGUCAUUUCAACCCUCAAGACCCCUUCGGGGGACUUGGUGUUGGGGACCGGCACAGGGGCCUGCCUGCUUGUCUUGCAGCGCCCUCGCCGCCCCCGAAAUGAAUUGGCGGCCUCGUCGCGGCCUCCCCUGCGUAGUAGCACAAACCUCGCAACGGGAACGUGACGGCGGCCACUGCCGUAAAACAACCCAAUUUUAUUAGAGUUGACCUCGAAUCAGGUAGGAAUACCCGCUGAACUUAAGCAUAUCAAUAAGCGGAGGA
This 375-nucleotide unclassified non-coding RNA is filed under the name soil metagenome. RNAcentral's name for it is "partial contains 5.8S ribosomal RNA, internal transcribed spacer 2, and large subunit ribosomal RNA". The stretch from base 1 to 120 matches the Rfam family "5.8S ribosomal RNA", at positions 35 to 154 of the family's 154-position model. The record is from RNAcentral.